This 17021-nucleotide long non-coding RNA is filed under the name Fragaria vesca (wild strawberry). Its description in RNAcentral is "long non-coding RNA (FVES_LNC003924)". Lineage: Eukaryota; Viridiplantae; Streptophyta; Magnoliopsida; Rosales; Rosaceae. The record is from RNAcentral.
CUAACAUUGUUGCAGCAUAGAUUUAAGGAGAAACUCAGGUGUAAGUUCCCAAUUUUAUUUCUAGAACAGUAUAGGCUCAUGUGCCAACAUGCUCCCUCAAUCAUUUCUGUGUUCAAAUAAAGAAGGGGAAGCUGAGCAGCUAUCAUGGCAGCCAGUUCACAUAGUUGAUUAAGUUAAGUGAUAGAGGGUUAGGCUAGCUAUUUAGUCGUUGGUGUGGUAGCUAAUUAGAAUGGUAUGAAAGGGGAGAAUGUACAUUGUAUGAAUACGAUUGAUGUCCUUGAUUUCAAUCAAUGAGUAUCACAAAGAAGUUUGAGGCUUCCAUUCCAUAAGUGGGAGGUGAAGAGUUGAAGAUUUCUUUAUUGUUCUACUGUUUACUGCAUAGCAAUGAGAAAAUGUUCUGGUAAAUGUCUGAACUUGUCACUCUAGCGGAAGAUGUCGACUAUACUUCUUUGACAGGGAGACAUACAUUACUUUAUGGGAUCUGUUACUUUGAGAUCUCUGUUUGUAACCAUAUGUAGCUACCUCAAGUCAUAACCUUGUAAUACUAAUACUGAUUUCAGUACACAAAUCAUAUAACAGAAAAGUCCUUACUGGUCGUUUGAGCUACUAUUGGCAUGGCUUCUGAUUUGUGAAGGCCUCAGCUGAUCUCUCUGCCGGUUAGAUUCUCUGCUACCAAAAUACAAGUGUAAAGACAAACAAUACACUCGCUCAAUCUAUAAUCCAACCCAUCUGAAGCAAAUUUAAUUUAUGAUGCUUAUACUUCUAAUGUUCCCCUAUACACUUUCUACUUUCACUGAUACAGUACUAAAACUUCAGUUUCUGCUUAAUUUAGUGAUCUUCAAUUUCUGCAUUUGCAAUGUAGUUAGGCAUUUUGGGGUGGCAUAACAAGUGGAAGAGCGCUCUUCAAUUCUCAUUCCUAUUGAUCAUAACGGAAAAUCAAAGAGGCAAUCAGGUAGAAUCAUCAGUUUCGGAACCCUUAAUAUCAUGAACUAACUUCUUAAACAUUUGUACUGCUUGCGUGAUAUGCAUGUAAAAUCUUGUACACCUACAAAUGAGUUAAGCCAUAUGUAAAUUCCACAGUAAAUGUGUGUAUGCAUUUUGUUGCAGUUGAUGAUGGAAAUUCUAUUAUAGGUAGCUUACUGAGAAAUGUAUAUGAUAAAAGGGCCUAAAAAGCUCCCUCAAGCUGCAUCAAAUUUAUGGAACAGAAAGAUUAAGGUAAAUAACUAAAUAUCUAAAUAUCCAAAUUCUUUCUAUAGGGACCAUACAUGAAACUACGAGUAUGAAUGUUCACCAAACAGUUAUUCGUUAUCCUCUGCCUAGCUGUGGCAUUAAAUCUCACAACUAAUAUGUAAUGAUUUCAUCGAACUAGAAUCUCUUAUCACAAGUUGCAUAAUUCAAAUAACAAAUAUGUCGUCUGAUUGCAUAAUAUGAUACCAAAAUAACUGUUGUCGUCCUAUAACUUUAUGGCCAUAGUGAUCUGAUAAAUGAUUGGGACUGAAGUCGGUCAGAUGUUACAAUUUCAAGAACAAGUUGACCACAUUCAUGCCGGAAAAAUAAGACUCAAGGCACCAUUUUCUAAGGUUGAGAUUCUUGGAUGAGAUUCAGAUAUUUUUUGUUACGUUGUCGACAUGAUGACUAACCAACCCACACAUGACACAUGCACGUCGUAUAUUCAUGAUAGUCAUUCCAAAUCAUAUAUGUUUGAAGCAACAGAAACCAACAACGAGAAUCCCUACCUCACUUUACUACUACUUUCUAGGAGUGAGCUUUCACUAUUUGUCGGCACACAUUUCUAGUCCAGUUAGCUAGCUUUUCUUCCUUUUCAGCCAAACUUCAAAUGGAUGAUACGCAACGUUCUCCCUUGCUGAGCAUCAAGGCUUCACUGGAACCCGACUAUGCUCCGGUGAAGACCUUUCAGGAGGGCAUGUCUGUAUGUUGGAAGGAGUCUGUGAAGCUGUGGAAAGUUGCAGCUCCGGUGGCUUUCGCGGCUCUCUUUCAGUACCUCAUCCAGUCCAUCACCACCAUUUUCAUCGGACAUCUCGGAGAUCUUGAGCUCUCUGCUAUUUCCCUCGCUCAUAAUGUCAUCAACGCCAUCGCUGUUGGCUUCCUGGUUAGUUUGCAUGUCUAUGGGAUCAAAUCCUAUCAAUCAUUGACUCGUAUUGCUUUGUUUGUAUAUGCAUUAUGUGUACUUAUUUAUCUAUGCAUCAUUGUUUGCAUUUGGAGUAUAGUUUCUCUCACGUGUAAAACUCCAAAUUGAUAAGAAGAUAUUUUGAAAUAGUACCUCGUUAGGUUAACUGUCAUUUUCUAGAGUAAAAAUACAUAAAUUACAUUUCACUCACAGAAAAUUAUGGUGGUUUACAUGACUGAAAAUACUAUGACGAUCGACUUGCUGCUGUGUACAGUUAUUUUUUUAUUUUUAUUUUUUUCUGUUCGAAUAACAUGCACAAUCUUCACUGACAUAGUAGGUAUAAGACUAACGUAUACGUACGUUCACAACAACAAAAUGGAGCAAAAACCACACAAAGAGUGUGGCCUUUUGAGGUGUUACAAUCCACAUUUGUGUGACAAUUUUUCCCUCAUCUCCACUAAUACUCACACUUGCCAUGCAUAACAAAAAUUGCAACACCUCUAAAGGCCACAUUCCUUUUGUGGCCUUUGCUCUAUAUUCUUGUUGUGGUUCUUGAUCUUCUUUGCGAAAACGGAAGGUACAAAUUCUAUCUUGAUUAAUUAUCUUGUAACAGUCAGUUCCCAAGUUUCUCAAGCUCCAUUUCUGAUUUUGGAACACCGAAAGUGCUCACUAGGAAGUCACUAGAGGUCACAGAACAUCAAUUUUGAUAGGGAAAAGCUUAAUAACAAUGCAAAUCGAAUUUGCAUAAACUGUAAGGAUUUGACAUAAAUGGGAGAAAGGGGCAAAAUAAUUUACUCCAUUACUAGAUGUCUAGAUGCAGAGAUAUGAAAUAUGUCUUGGACACACGCAUGUUUAUGGUAUCUUUCUUCAUGCAAGAGAGAGAGAGAGAGAGGUCUUUUCAUGGCGUGCUAAUAGCAUGAGGCCUAAAAAUUAAACUUCAUUUGAUGGUUUUGACCUGCAAAUUGUGAACGCAGAGAGGUAUGGCAUAUGCACUUGGAACGCUUUGUGGACAAGCUUAUGGUGCAGGCCAAAUCGACUCACUUGGUAUCUAUAUGCAGCGCUCAUGCAUCAUCCUAACCAUUGCUUGUUUUCUCCUCUUAUCACUUUACAUUUUUGCCACUCCAUUCCUCAAGAUUUUAGGCCAACAAGAAAGUCUAGCCGAGUUUGCUGGAAACUACAGUCUGUUGAUAAUCCCUCAGAUGUUCUCCUUUGCCAUCAAUUUGCCCACCCAAAAGUUCCUUCAGGCUCAGAGCAAGGUCGGCGUCAUUACAUGGAUCUCCUUUGUGGCUCUAGUCACACACACAGGACUCCUUUAUCUUUUCAUUAGCGUACUCGGCUGGGGGGUGAAUGGUGCAGCUGUAGCUUAUAACAUCACAUACUGGGAAGUUGCAGUUGGUCAGUUUGUGUAUGUUGCAUUUUUGUGCAAGGAAGGUUGGAAUGGAUUUUCAUGGUUAGCAUUCAAAGACAUCUGGGAUUUUGCUAAGCUGUCUCUUGCCUCAUGUAUGAUGUUUUGCCUAGAGAUGUGGUAUACUAUGAGUAUGAACAUUUUCGCCGGUCAACUUGAGAAUGCAGUGAUUGCCCUCGGUUCCUUCUCAAUAUGGUAAGUGCAUCGCUAUUAAUUUUGUCCCUUGUUCGUAUUCUUUGUGUUCUAAUUUGUGAUAACGAGUCUAAAGUUCUUUCUGUUUUUCUUUUUUGAUUAGCUUGAACUUUCAAAGUUGGGAAAUCAUGAUUUUGGUUGGAGUGAGUACUGCUAUAAGGUAAAUGUUUCUAUGUUUUUGUACUAAACUAUGAACCAAUGUAGACCUUGGAGAGAAACCAUAAAUCGGCACUCCUAGGCGGAAGAGCCUCUAGGCGGGUCUAGGCGGUAUGAACUGUUUCCAUUUUUCUGGACUUUCUUUGAUAUCUUAUCAUCACAUUGGUAAUUCUCCAGCAUUCGAGUCUCAAAUGAACUUGGAAUGGGGCACCCAAGAGCGGCCAAAUACUCCAUAUGUGUUGCAGUCUUGCUAUCUCUCGUCGUUGGUCUUGUGUCUAUGACUUCUAUCUUCUUAAGUAGAGACUACAUUGCCAAUGUUUUCACAGACAGCAAAGUAAUGCAACAAGCUGUUGCUCAUUUAGCAUACUUUCUCGGCGCAGCCAUGCUUCUUAAUAGUGUUGCAGAAGUUUUGACAGGUAACUUUUAGUGCAGCUAGCUUCUCUUAGAUCAUUUUGUGUUUUUGCCCAAGUUUUCUUUGUGUAACAGAUUCUUGGCUACUUCCAUUAUGCAGGGGUUGCUAGUUGGAGGCGGGAUGGCAAGUGAUGGUAGCUUAUAUAANNNNNNNNNNNNNNNNNNNNNNNNNNNNNNNNNNNNNNNNNNNNNNNNNNNNNNNNNNNNNNNNNNNNNNNNNNNNNNNNNAUGACUUCCAGAACCAACUGGGACACUGAGGUCAGUAGAUCAAGCAGAAUACCAUUUACAGAUUACAAAAGUCUUCCUUUUGGAUAUUGUUGUUCAGCUCAUAGUUGAUUUCUAUAUAUUUCAGGUGGAGCAAACGACAAAGCGCAUAAAGAAAUGGGGGAGCAAAGAAAUAAGAACUGAGAAGAAGAUGGAUUGCUGAUACCAAUAUAUGAAGUUUCCUACAAAAACAUUAACAUGAAAAGCUAACAUUGUUGCAGCAUAGAUUUAAGGAGAAACUCAGGUGUAAGUUCCCAAUUUUAUUUCUAGAACAGUAUAGGCUCAUGUGCCAACAUGCUCCCUCAGUCAUUUCUGUGUUCAAAUAAAGAAGGGGAAGCUGAGCAGCUAUCAUGGCAGCCAGUUCACAUAGUUGAUUAGGUUAAGUGAUAGAGGGUUAGGCUAGCUAUUUAGUCGUUAGUGUGGUAUCUAAUUAGAAUGGUAUGAAAGGGGAGAAUGUACAUUGUACGAAUACGUUGCUGUCCUUGAUUUCAAUCAAUGAGUAUCACAAAGAAGUUUGUGGCUUCCAUUCAAUAAGUGGGAGGUGAAGAGUUAAAGAUUUCUUUAUUGUUCUACACUUCUACUGUUUUCUGCAUAGCAAAGAGAAAAUGUUCUGGUAAAUGUCUGAACUUUUCACUCUAGCUGAAGAUGUCGAGACUAUACUUCUUUGACAGGGAGACAUACAUUACUUCAUGGGAUCUGUUACUUUGAGAUCUCUGUUUGUAACCAUAUGCAGCUACCUCAAGUCAUAACCUUGUAAUACUAAUACUAAUUUCAGUACACAAAUCAUAUAACAGAAAAGUCCUUACUGGUCGUUUGAGCUACUAUUGGAAUGGCUUCUGAUUUGUGAAGGCCUCAGCUGAUCUCUUUGCAGGGUUAGAUUCUCUGCUACCAAAAUACAAGUGUAAAGACAAACAAUACACUUGCUCAUCUACAAUCCAACCCAUCUGAAGCAAAUUUAAUUUAGGGGAAUUUUCAAAUACACCCAAUUUUAAAGAGUGGUUUUAAAUAAAACCCACCUAAUAUUACUAUCUGAUAGACAUCUAAAAUGUAUCAAUUAUGAUAAAUAUUAUGUCAUAUUUUUUCUAAAUUUUACACAAUUGCCACCAUUCAACUAUAACAUAUUAAUAUAAUAAAUAAGCUUAAUUGAUAUUGUCUUAUUUACCUUAAUUAUGAGUUUUUCUUCUAACACUAACAUUUUUCAAUCAAUUUGCAAGAAUCAUGUAGUUUUCUUUAUUUUUAUGAAAAAAUCUAGAUUAAAGGAAUUCAUUCUCUAAUCUAUACAUAAGGUAAAAUAUAAUAUGAAUAAGAUAUCUGAUCUAAACCCUAAACCCUAUACCCUAUACCCUAUACCCUAAACCAGUGGCGGAGGCAGAAACUAUAUGACUGAGGGCACAAUUUAAUGAUCACAAAAAUUUUCUUUGAGAAAUAAGUAUAUAGACACCAUAUAGCUUUCCAUAUUUGAAAGUGCAUCAAUUCAAUUCAGCACAAAAUGUAUAAAAAGGUUCAUAUAUCCAUCUACUACAAAAAAAUUGUUUCCGUCACAAAAAACAACUAAAACCAGAAACAAUAGGGCAGAUGUACCUAUAGUUGUCCUCGACGAGGUGCCAUGUUUUGAAAUCGCUGAAUUAUAACUUCAUUGUCAAUGGCAUUGAACACAUCUUUCUCAAGGUACACUGUUAAGCUAUCAUUCAACCACUGAUCUCCCAUUCGAUUACGCAUUCGAUUCUUUAUGAUGUUCAUGGCAGAGAAUGCCCUUUCAACUGUGGCUGUUGCAACUGGAAGUACUAGUGCCAAGGUAAUGAGCAGAUAUACAUAUUGAUAAGUCUUAUGCUUUCCUGUCUCAACAAGUUUCAGUGCUAGAUCAGAUAUUCCAUGCAUGUUUUGAAACUUAGAGUUAGACUGCAUAUCAUCAAUGUAAAUAUCAAGUUGUGACUCUAGUAUCAACAAAUCCGAUGUAGAAAAAUCAGCCGGAUAUAAGUGAGCAAGAUGCAUCAAACGUUCCUUGUUAAAACAAGAAAAUGUAUCAUUCGGACUUAAACAAGCAAGGCAGAGGAGUAGCUCUGUAUUGGCCUCAUUGUAAACGAUUGUUCAACUCUUGUAGUUGGAGAUCUAUCACAGCACAAAAGAAGUCAAAACGAUAAUAGUGCAAAUUUGUGAUUUCUGGACUUUUACGCUUGGAUUUCCAUGGACAUAGAAGCUGCUCACUCAUGUUAGGAACCAUGAUAUUUUCUUUCCCACAAAACACAACAACUUGAUCUAGUAAAGAAUCCCAUCCAUUAUCCCUCAUAUCCUGCAAUUUUUUCUUGCAUAUUUUUACUAAAUCCAUUGCAUUUACUAUAUCCUGAUCAUCUCUUUGUAAGGCUUGCGACAGUUCAUGACUAAUUCCAAGUACAAUCCUCAUCAAGUGUAAGCUAAAUAUGCAAUCAAAAGAUUGUAACAGCCCCAACGAAAUAAAUGCAUCAUGUUUCUGAUCAGAGCCUACUUUGUCAAAUGCAACUUCAUCUAGCACAUCAAUUAUGGAAGAAAACAUGGCAGUAAAGUUUAUGAGUGUACCAUAAUGUGAGCUCCAACGUGUAUCGACUGAACGUUUAGGCUCAAGUUCUUGAUUUAACCCUCUUCCACUUGGAAGUUCUCCAACCUCCAAUGCUUUAAUAACUUUAAGAGCUUGCUUUUCUCGUAAAAUGUCACGACGUUUGGAGGAGGCCCCAACAAUAUUCACAACUUUAGCAAUAGAAGUGAAAAAAGCACCUACAAUGUCAUAUUUUUUUGCUACAGCCACCAAGGCUAACUGAAGUUGAUGUGCAAAACAAUGAACAUAGAAAGCACUCGGAUUCUCCUUCAAAAUAAGUGUCUUCAAUCCGUUCAGUUCCCCACUCAUAUUACUUGCUCCGUCGAAGCCUUGACCACGCAAACUUGAUGUGCUUAAACCAUGUUUACAAAGCAAUGCAUCUAUGGCUUCUUUAAGUGUCAUGGAAGUAGUAUUGGCAACAUGCUGAAUUCUAAUAAAACGCUCAAUUACAGAACCCUUCUUAUCCACAUACCGAAAAUUACAGCCAUUUGCUCUUUCACCGAAACAUCUCUAGACUUCAUCAACUAUAAUAGAGAACAAUGCAUUACCCAUAUCUGUAAUUAUAGCCUUUGUAGUUUCAAUUGCAGCAGCAUGAACUAUCUCUUUUUGGAUCACUGGUGAUGUCAUUUUGAGAUUUUCAGGAGCAUUUUGCAAUACAACAGCUCUGACUUGUUCAUCAUGAUCAGCAAGAAAUUGUAAAAGCUCUAGAAAAUUACCUUAAUUACUUGAAUUAUCGGAUUCAUCAUGGCCUCGAAAUGCAAGACCUUGUCUUAGAAGAAACCGAAUACAAUCUACUGAUGCAGUAAGCCGAAUUCGAUAUGAUGUUCUUGGAUUGCUUAGCAUUCUUGUCUAUGAUGUUUCGAAUGUGUUGUCUCUCAUUCAUGAGGUCUUCACACUUUCUCAAAGCUUGGUUAUGGGCACUGUUGAGGUCACCAACAUGAGCAUGUAACCUUUUCUUGUCCUUCCAAUUUCGAUAACCUGUUUGAGUAAAAACAUCACCUCCUCCUUGUCCUCCUGUAUUUGUUUUAAAUAAGUAGCAACACAAACAAUAUGCAGCAUCCUGUUCUAUACUGUACUCCAACCAAUUAGGAAAAUCAUCAAACCAAGCAGAGUUAAACUUCCUUUCCUUAACUCCAAAUGAAGACUUACGAAAUUUGUGUUCUUUAGGCUGACGAGGACCUCUCUGUAAAUAUUCUCUUCGAACUUGGUCUCUUAUUUUUGGAUCAUAGUUUGAAAUACUCUUUCGUAAUCCAGGAUCAGAAGGAAGAUCAGCCAAGUUUAUCUCUACCCCAACACUGAUGUUCUUUGGUACAAAGUCUGAUUUUCUUUUAAAGAAUCUUUCCAUGACUUUACAGAAUUCACAACUGCAUAAGAUAAUCACAAUAAGCUAAACCAGAAGACUAGAAUUCUAGAUUCAUAUGACUGAUAUGAGAAUUGAGAUUCACAAAGCAUGAAAGCAGUAAAACGAUAAUAAAAAUCAAUAAGAGAAUAUCAUGUGGUCUCUAACCUGUAGCAACUAGCACUUGAAGACAAAUCAAUGAUCACUAGUUCACAACCUCAUCACCAACUCGUCAUCAAUCACCAUCACUCCAUGACUCCAUGUCUCCAUCAGUCCAUGACCAGACCAAAGAAAUUCAAGAGGGCAGGGAGGGAGAACAAAGACGACAGCAACUUCUUCUAAGAAGAAUAGGAACAGAACCCCAAAAAUUCUUUAACUAUCAAUUUAGGUUUUAUUAAAUCACUUGGGCUUUAUAAAUAUAUAUGGGUAAUGGGCUGUUUUUUGUUUGAGUGGUUUGGGUAAUGGGCUGUUAACUUCUUUUAAUUUAGUUAAUACAUGUAAAACUAUAAAGAAUAUCAAUUUCACAUGAGGCACAAUUGAUCAAAGUGAACUAACAUACAAAGUUGACUGCAGGCACAGGCCAACGCUGGCCCUGUAUUGGCUCCGCCCCUGCCCUAAACCCUAAACCCUGAACCUAUACCCUAAACCCUAUGCCCUAAACCCAAUUUUGGGUUUCUUCUUUUUAGGUAUAUUAUCAUAUCAUGCCCUAUUUAAAAGGUACAUUAGAAACGUAAUUAGUAGAGAGUAAAAUGUUCUCUCAAUUAGGAUGAGAAAUGAUAUAAUAAUAUACCUAAAAAGAAGAAAAUUAAUCAAAGAACAAGAACGUGUACCUUACAAUUAGACAUUUUUCGACUAUGUAGAGAGAUACCAAAUGUGAGCUUAAGAAUGAAAAGUAUCAUCCUAUUACAAAUGACAUACUUCUGUAUAUAGCAUAUAUAUAUACACACUCAAGUUAGUAAUAACAAUGUAAGAAAUUAAAGAAUGUAAUUGAUUAUGACAAAGUUAAAUCUAACUAAAUUUUAGUUAGUAUUUGAGUUUCAAAUUGAUGCUAAAAUUGAGAAAUAUACCAAAUUUAGCUUUCUAUUGUCUAAAGGGCAAAUUAGAGAAACCGAAAAAUGAAGAAAACUAUUAAUUAUAGACAUUUGCUCUAUAAAGUAUGUUUGCUUAUGUGAAAUGGGUGUAAAAUAAAAGAAAAAUAUAUAUGAGUUUAUUUUAAAAAAAAUCUAGUAUUUUAGAUUUUUAUCUGAUUUUCUCUUUAAUUUAUUUAUGAUGCUUAUACUUCUAAUGUUCCCCUGUACACUUUAUACUUUUACAUAACUAAAUAUAACAUCUAAAUAUCCAAAUUAUUUCUUUAGGCCAUACACGAAACUAUGAGUAUGAAACUUUAUGGGCACAGUGAUCUGAUAAAAGAUUGGGACUGAAGUCGGUCAGAUGUUACAUUCAUGCCGGAAAAUAAGACUCAAGGCACCAUUUUCUAAGGUUGUGAUUCUUGGAUGAGAUUCAGAUUUUUUUUGUUACGUUGUUGACAUGAUGACUAACCAACCCACACAUGACACAUGCACGUCGUAUAUUCAGGAUAGUCAUUCAUCACGACAUGAAGUCCUCCACUAUAUUCCAACGUGGAUUUGUUUAUAUGUUUGAAGCGACAGAUACCAACACAAAGAAUCCCUACCUCAUUUUACUACUACUUUCUAGGAGUGAGCUUUCACUAUUUCUCGGCACACAUUUCUGGUCCAGUUAGCUAGCUUUUCUUCCUUUUCAGCCAAACUUCAAAUGGAUGAUACGCAAAGUUCUCCCUUGCUGAGCAUCAAGGCUUCACCGGAACCCGAUUAUGCUCCGGUGAAGACCUUUCAGGAGGGCAUGUCAGUUUGUUGGAAGGAGACUGUGAAGCUGUGGAAAGUUGCAGCUCCGGUGGCUUUCACGACUCUCUUUCAGUUCCUCAUCCAGUCUGUCACCACCAUCUUCAUCGGACAUCUCGGAGAUCUUGAGCUUUCUGCUAUUUCUCUUGCUCAUAAUGUCAUCAACGCUAUUGCCUAUGGCUUCCUGGUAUGUAUUUGCAUCUCUCUCUUCCUUUGAUCAAUCAUUAUUUGACUUCCAUUUGUUUGUUUGUAUGUGACAUGUAUAGUGUUUCUCUCUCGUGUAAGGUUGAUAUCCACAGGUUUGGACUUGGUCUAACAAAAAGUCUAAAUUGGCAAAAAUUGAUAAUACGCCACAGUAAAUUUUCUCAAGAGUGAACUGUGUAAAUUACAUUUUACUCGCAAGAACAUGGUAGUUAACUACAGAGACUAAAUUAACGACAGUAUCACUUUUUCUGUCAUACUAAUUCUCUUCUCAAAAACCAUGUCCGGCCUAUAGUACGUUUAUAUGCAUUGGGUUAACUUUUGUUGUGACCUUACAUGUUUAUGGUGUCUUUCUUGAUUCAUGGGACUUCAUUAGAUAGAUUCCUAUGUCUUUCACUCUUUCUCAGAAAUGGUGGUAAUAGAAUAAGGCACAUCUAGUUAGAACUGUAUAUGUAUGACUUGGUGCAUUUUGAAUAUUGCAGCAAGGUAUGGCAAAUGCACUUGGAACUCUAUGUGGUCAAGCAUAUGGUGCAGGCCAAGUUGAUUCACUUGGCAUCUAUAUGCAGCGCUCCUGCAUUAUCCUAUCCAUCACUUGCUUCCUCCUUUCGUCGAUUUACAUUUUUGCUACUCCAUUCCUAAAGAUUUUAGGCCAACAAGACAGUAUAGCUGAGUUUGCUGGAAAAUAUUGUCUGUUGAUUAUCCCUCAGAUGUUCUCCUUUAUCAUCAAUCUGCCCACCCAAAAGUUUCUUCAAGCUCAGAGCAAGGUGGGGAUCAUCACAUGGAUCUCCUUUGUGGCUCUAGUCACACACACAGGACUUCUUUAUCUCUUCAUUAGCGUACUCGGCUGGGGGGUGAAUGGUGCAGCUGUUGCUUAUAAUAUCACAUUUUGGGAAGUUGCAGUUGGUCAGUUUAUGUAUGCUGUGUUUUUUUGCAAAGAGGGUUGGAGUGGAUUUUCAUGGUUAGCUUUCAAAGACAUUUGGGCUUUUGCUAGGCUGUCCCUGUCCUCAUGUAUGUUCUUUUGCCUAGAGAUGUGGUACGUUAUGAGUCUCAGCAUUCUUGCCGGGCAACUUGAAAAUGCAGUGAUUGCUCUUGGUUCCUUUUCUAUAUGGUAAGAGCUUCACAACUUCCUUGUCUUCUUAGCAUUGUGUACAUGUGAUGAUGAGUCUAAAAUGCUCUUGGUUUUUCAUUGUUAGCUUGAACUUUCAGAGCUGGGAAGUCAUGAUUUUGACAGGAAUAAAUGCGGCUAUAAGGUUAUUAAUGCUGCCUAUGUUUAUGUACUGUUUCCAUUUUUGGGGUGAUGUUAGCUAACAUAUAUAUUCAUAUCCUUGUUAAUAAUCUAGCAUUCGAGUCUCGAAUGAACUAGGGAUGGGGCAUCCCAGAGCUGCCAAAUACUCCAUAUGUGCUGCAGUCGUACAAUCCCUCAUCGUUGGGAUCGUGUCUAUGACUUUUGUCUUCAUAAGUAGAGACUACAUUGCCAGUGUUUUCACAGACAGCAAAGUCAUCCAGCAAGCUGUUGCUCGUUUAGCAUACUUUGUUGGUAUAACCAUGCUUCUUGCUAGUGUUGCACAAGUUUUAACAGGUAAGUUUAGAAUGACUUCUUUGAUAUCAUUUUAUGUAUAGAGCUUCAGAGUCCCCAUUUCAUUUGCAGGUGUUGCUAUUGGAAGUGGAUGGCAAGUGAUGGUAGCUUAUAUAAAUUUGGCUGCUUAUUACCUAUUUGGUCUCCCACUUGCAAUCUUUCUUGGAUUUAAAGCCAAUUUGGGUUCAAUGGUAUCAGUUCAUGAUCUCUAUCUUCCUGCACAAAUAAUGUUACAUAUAAACAGUAUUUUACUUAAUUUUGGAUUUCACAACUUAGGGACUAUAUGGUGGCAUGAUAAGUGGAAGUGCUCUUCAGAUCUUAUUCCUAUUGAUUAUGACUUCCAGAACCAACUGGGACAAGGAGGUAAGUAAAUCAAGUAGAAUAUCAUUUACAAAUUCAUUUCCUCUGUAUUGUUAUUCAACUUAUGAUCGGAUUCCUAUAAUUUUCAGGUCGAGCAGACGACUAAGCGCAUAAAGAAAUGGGGGAGCAAGGAAAUAAGAACUGAGAAGAUAGGUUGCUGAUAGUAGUAUAUGAAAUAAAGCUACUCACUCUUGCUGCAUAGAUUUAAGGUGAAACUCAGGUAUAAGUUCCUUAGUUUAUUUCUCGAAUAGUAUAGGCUCAUCUCUCAAUAUGAUCUGCCACACUCAUGUCUGUGUUUGAAACUUUGAAUAUCAAAGGGCAAGCUGAGCAGCUGAUAAAAUGCGGCCAGCUUAAGGAGGUUGAGUGAGGUUUAAAAGCAAGCUGUUUUGUGGUUAAUAAUGUGUUUAUUAAUUAAUUAGUUAAUUAGAAUAGUAGCUAGUAAAGGAACAAUAUAUUUACAUUGUGUUAAUACAAUUUAGAACUAAUAUAUAUACUGCAUCCUGUGAGGAAAAAAUGUAAAAGAACAUGUUCUGGUGAAUGUGUAAACUUCCCUUUGAGUUGAAUAAGAGAUUACCUCAUUGGGAUAUAUAUGUUAUAAGACCUGUUACUGUGAGACCUCAGUUUGUAACAUUAACUGCAGCCAGCUAGCUCAAGUACCUCGUUAAUAAUACUACAAAUUUCAUUACAGAAGUCAUAUACAACUACAAAGUCCUUGCUGCAUGAAGCCAGCAUUGGCUUCUGAUUUGUUAACAUCCCUGGUCAUUAAAUUUAACCCAUCUGAGCCUGAGGACUGUGGCCGGUGAGUAGCUCCGAUGAGGUGAUUUUUCUAAGAAAUUGCAGCUUCAGUUGCAAUUCCAGUACUUGAUUAUUCAAAUUUCCGUCACCUCCAUCUUUGUAGGCCAUCUCAGAGACCUUGAGCUCUCUGCUUUCACAAUGUCAUUGCCAACAUCCCCCAUGGUUUCCUAGCCUGGCUUGCAUCUCUAUCAAUAUAUACCUUUCCAAAUCAUACAGUUGAUGUCCGACACACCUACAUUUCUUUCACAAACUAGUUAGCAAAUCAUACAGUUUGAGGUGUGUUUUCCUGGAACAUCAGUUACUGUGAUCAAAUAAAAAAGGGCAGCCUUGACUCAGUUCAUGAUGUCGGAGAUAAUUGAAGGACUGGUGGGGAUUUGUAUUUUAGUUUAAAAGGUGGGAUAGAAUGUAGAAAUCUAAUUAUAUAUUUGUAUGAACAUAGUUAUGUACUGAAUAAUAUAUUCUUCAACAAAUAGUGACAUUGACAAAGAAUUUGAGGCCUGCUUAACCAUAUGGUGGGAUCUCAUGCUUUUAUUUCAUUCCAUUAUAUAUAUUAGAUUUGAAAUCAGCAAGGAUCGGAUAUUACUAUAUUUAGUAUUUUCUGGUGAAGAAUCUUAUUCAAGCAUAUAUUUGGGGUCUAGAAUUGCACAAAAGAUGUCGAUAGUUAAGACGGAUAUAAACCUGUGUGAGAUCUCAGAUUUAGACGCAACUACACGUUGUUUGCUUUGUAAUAUUAAAUGUAGCUACCUCAAGAACUUGUAGUAUAACUUGGAUUUGUACUAAUGUCAGAUCAUAUGACAUGUAGUCUUCACUGCUUAGAGCUAUCAGUGGCUAUCUGAGUUGUGAACAUACCGGCCAGCGCGCUGAUCUUAAUUUCUUUGCUACCAAAAUGGAAACACAGACAGUACCGUUGCUGAUCAUCAAACGUAAACCAGAUGAGACUGAAGACUAUGCGCCAGUGAGUAGCUUUGAGGAGGCCAUUUUAGUCUUUUGGAAAGAGAGGUGAAGCUGUGGAAGAUUGCAGCUCCAGUUGCAAUAACAAUGUUGUUUCAGUACUUGAUUCAAUCUGUCACCACAAUAUUCGUAGGCCAUCUCGGAGACCUUGAACUCUCUGCUGUUUCACUUGCUCACAAUGUCAUUGGCAACAUCUCUUAUGGUUUCCUGGUUUGCAUCUAUCUCUAUAUCCCUCCUACUAAUCAUAAAUCGUACACAGACACACCUGCAUUUGUUUUACAGACAAGUUAGCGUUAGACUGCGCCUUACUACAUAUGUUACUAUCCUAUGUUUGGGAUCUUUAACACAUUGUGACAGUUCCAUACCUCCAUAGAACAACAUUUAGUACUCCUAUAUUUGAUUUUCUGCGAGAAACUAAGAAAAAGUGAUUGAAUAGUUAUUGUACAAUGUCUAUGUAUGUAGCAAGGUAUGGCAAUUGCAUUGGGAACACUUUGUGGUCAAGCAUAUGGUGCAGGCCAAGUUGGUUCACUUGGUAUCUAUUUGCAGCGCUCAUGGAUUGUCCUAUCCAUCACUUCUGUGAUCCUUUCAUCAGCUUAUAUAUAUGCAACUCCAAUCCUAAUGAUCUUAGGCCAAGACCCUCGUAUAGCUAACCUUGCCGGAAAAUAUAGCAGGAAGAUUCUUCCUGAAAUGUUCUCUUCUACUCUCAAUUUGUCCACCCAAAAGUUCCUUCAGGCUCAAAGCAAGGUAGGAGUGAUCACAUGGAUGGCCUUUGCAGCUCUCAUUGCACAAACUGGACUUCUUCAUCUCUUCAUCAACAUUUUCGGAUGGGGAUUAGAUGGUGCAGCUGCAGCUUACAACAUAACAAAUUGGGGAAUUGCUAUUGGUCAAGGUGUGUAUUGUGUGUUCUGGUGCCAAGAGGCUUGGAAUACUGGAUUUUCAUGGUUGGCAUUUAAGGACAUAUGGGCUUUUGCAAAGCUUUCCUUUGCUUCAUGCUUCAUGUUUUGCUUCGAGUGAUGGUAUGUCACGAGUGUGAACAUUCUCGUCGGUGUUCUUCCCAAUGCAGUGAUUGCUCUUGGUUCCUUUUCAAUAUGGUAAUAUAGCUAGAUCCUUCAAUUCAAUACAGAACAAGUUCUGUUUGCUAUAUAUUUGUGAUCAUUACCUCAUCAAGUAUAUUAUUUGUUUCUCUCAAUUAGCACCAACUUUCAGAAUUGGGAGCUCAUGUUGUUAGUCGGAAUAAAUGCUGCCAUAAGGUAAAUGCUGCACUUUUCUUGUAAAUUUGUGUCACAUAUGAUCAUUGUGUUCACUAAAUGUAUAUAUCAUUCCCUAUCUAUCUGCAGCAUUCGAGUCUCCAAUGAACUAGGGAAGGGGCACCCAAGAACCGCAAAGUACUCAGUUUGUGUUGUUGUCUCACACUCUCUCGUGGUUGGGAUCUUGUUCAUGAUUACUAUCUUCUUAACUAGAAACUACAUUCCCAUCAUCUUCACAGGCAGUGAAGAUAUGCAACGAGCUGUCGCUCGUUUAGCAUAUCUUCUCGGAGUAACCAUGCUUCUAAACAGUGCUACACAAGUGUUAACUGGUAUAUAUAGUCUCUCUAGUACUGUGGCCUAAUUCUGCUCACUUCCAAAGUUUUAGUGAUCAUGCAAUUUCUUGGUAUUUUUUUGUUUGCAGGUGUUGCUGUUGGAGGUGGAUGGCAGGUGAUGGUAGCUUAUAUAAAUUUGGGUUGUUACUAUCUGUUUGGUCUUCCACUUGCGAUCCUUCUUGGGUUUAAAGCAAAACUGGGUGCCAUGGUAAUACUCACUUUCACUCAUUUCCUUCUUUUAAUUAAAAGUAAUUUUCAGUUCUGCUUAGACUGUGUGAUAUAUUCUGGUUUAAAUGUACAUGUAUAUAUAGGGGCUAUGGGGUGGCAUGAUGAGUGGUAGUGCUCUUCAUAUCCUAUUCCUACUGAUUCUGACUUCCAGAACCAACUGGGACAAUGAGGUAUAUAGCUAGAAACCAAAUUUGCAAACAACUAGCUAAGCAUACAUUUUACUAUUUGGUUUUACAAAAAAAAAAACACAUUCUACUAUUUGAUUUUUACUUCUUUUAUCUACGUUUCACUAAAGUUUCAAUCAGAGUAAGGAUACAAGUAACUCAUCUCAUAUCUCGCUUAUCAAAUCAAGACUCGAGGCAUAGACUACACAUUGUGAUGAUUGAAUCUAUAUGUAUUGCAGGUGAAGGAAACCACAAAACGCAUAAAGAAGUGGGGGAACCAAGAGAAGAGAACUGAUCAAGAAGAUAACUUGCUGAAAUUGUAAUGUAACUGAAGUAUAAUUUCUCCUUGCUGCUUCCUAAAAUAAACAAAGUAUUUACCUUAGUAUUGCUUAGGGUCUGGGCUUGUUCUCUUGGUUCUCGAUCUCUUUGCGCUAUAUACUAGUCGACCCAACAAAACAAGAGGAUGUACGUAUACCUAAUUUGACAUUAUUGUUUUUCAUGAUUGCGAGAUUACUAAGAACUUUGCAAGAGACGACUUAUUUAGAACUAAGUAUCCAUUGUUCUAUAUUGCAUUUCAUAUGUUGUAACCAAAAGAAAAAAAAAAGAGAGAGAAAUUGCAUUUCAUAUGUACAAAAAAUCUCUCACACGUUAAGUUUUACAUGAACUUGCGAUCACCCAUUAUAGCCAUGAUACUUGAUUUCUAAUUCCUCUCCCUGCAGCUCAUUCUUUUUGUUUGAACUUUGAAGGGUAGCUUAGCUCUCCUCCUGUCACCAUCAACCUCAAUAUCACGUACUUUUUCGGUUAUUCAUUUCUUAUCAACCACGCACUUUCAAAAAAAAAAAAA